CCUACGGGUGGCAGCAGUGAGGAAUAUUGGUCAAUGGACGAGAGUCUGAACCAGCCAAGUAGCGUGAAGGAUGACUGCCCUAUGGGUUGUAAACUUCUUUUAUAUGGGAAUAAAAUGUUCCACGUGUGGGAUUUUGUAUGUACCAUAUGAAUAAGGAUCGGCUAACUCCGUGCCAGCAGCCGCGGUAAUCCGGCGGAUCCGAGCGUUAUCCGGAUUUAUUGGGUUUAAAGGGAGCGUAGGUGGAUUGUUAAGUCAGUUGUGAAAGUUUGCGGCUCAACCGUAAAAUUGCAGUUGAAACUGGCAGUCUGGAGUACAGUAGAGGUGGGCGGAAUUCGUGGUGUAGCGGUGAAAUGCUUAGAUAUCACGAAGAACUCCGAUUGCGAAGGCAGCUCACUGGACUGCAACUGACACUGAGGCUCGAAAGUGUGGGUAUCAAACAGGAUUAGAUACCCCAGUAGUC
RNAcentral lists this ribosomal RNA (460 nucleotides) under uncultured bacterium. RNAcentral's name for it is "partial 16S ribosomal RNA". It matches the Rfam family "Bacterial small subunit ribosomal RNA", at positions 338 to 795 of the family's 1533-position model. The record is from RNAcentral.